GACGUAGGGGGCCAGCGUUGCUCGGAAUUACUGGGCGUAAAGGGUUCGUAGGCGGUGCGGCAAGUCGGAAGUGAAAUCUCUGGGCUUAACUCAGAGGCUGCUCCCGAAACUGCCGUGCUCGAGUGCGGGAGAGGCGAGUGGAAUUACAGGUGUAGCGGUGAAAUGCGUAGAUAUCUGUAGGAACACCCGUGGCGAAGGCGGCUCGCUGGACCGCAACUGACGCUGAGGAACGAAAGCUAGGGGAGCAAACAGG
Molecule: ribosomal RNA, 253 nt
Filed under: uncultured bacterium
Lineage: Bacteria
Description: partial 16S ribosomal RNA
Rfam family: Bacterial small subunit ribosomal RNA
Source: RNAcentral